GGCUCAGUGGCUCAAUUGAUUAUGCCUUUGAGUUUCAAUCUUAAGGUUGUGGGUUCAAAUCCCAUUUAAGCCA
This 73-nucleotide transfer RNA is filed under the name Danio rerio (zebrafish). It matches the Rfam family "tRNA". Rfam says of the family: Transfer RNA (tRNA) molecules are approximately 80 nucleotides in length. Their secondary structure includes four short double-helical elements and three loops (D, anti-codon, and T loops). Further hydrogen bonds mediate the characteristic L-shaped molecular structure. tRNAs have two regions of fundamental functional importance: the anti-codon, which is responsible for specific mRNA codon recognition, and the 3' end, to which the tRNAs corresponding amino acid is attached (by aminoacyl-tRNA synthetases). tRNAs cope with the degeneracy of the genetic code in two manners: having more than one tRNA (with a specific anti-codon) for a particular amino acid; and 'wobble' base-pairing, i.e. permitting non-standard base-pairing at the 3rd anti-codon position. Lineage: Eukaryota; Metazoa; Chordata; Actinopteri; Cypriniformes; Danionidae. The record is from Rfam by way of RNAcentral.